UCGUCACGAGGUGAUUCUUCCAACGGUGCCUUGCCAAUGAAGACAUAGCCUGUGAUGUGGAUGAAAUCUUAUGGCCUGAUCCAGCCAGACGGAGAGAUGAUGAAUAGUUACAGUAUUCUUGUUGCUUUUACAGUAGUUUUUCUUCAGAGUCAAAGUGUAUGUACUUCAUGCAGUAAUUUUUAUUUGUCUACAGAUUUUAUUUGUUUCAUUGUUGGUUGAUUACUGUAACUGAUUAUGGUAAGAAAUACUGUAAGUAUUGAAAUAAAUACUUGAAAUAUUCAGUCUGCAGCAUCAGUGUUGUGCAGUGCUUGGUAAUUUUAUAGUAGGCCAAUUUGUGUACAUUCUCCCUAUAUCUCAAACUAAUCAUGAAGAACGUUGUGGGUUUGUCACCUUUUUUUUUUAGAGCGGAAGAG
Long non-coding RNA from Sinocyclocheilus anshuiensis, 413 nucleotides. RefSeq lists it as uncharacterized. The transcript has 3 exons. The record is from RefSeq and is a predicted model, not a curated record. Lineage: Eukaryota; Metazoa; Chordata; Actinopteri; Cypriniformes; Cyprinidae.